This 96-nucleotide ribosomal RNA is filed under the name Salvator merianae (Argentine black and white tegu). The record is from RNAcentral. Lineage: Eukaryota; Metazoa; Chordata; Lepidosauria; Squamata; Teiidae.
GUCAGCUGACCUUGGCUGAUCUCAAAAUGUUAAGCAGUGUCAGACUUGGUUAGCAUCUGGAUGGGUGACCACCAAGAAGUCCCAGGGCUAUAGGCU